Molecule: ribosomal RNA, 252 nt
Filed under: uncultured bacterium
Lineage: Bacteria
Description: partial 16S ribosomal RNA
Rfam family: Bacterial small subunit ribosomal RNA
Source: RNAcentral
UACGGGGGGAGCAAGCGUUGUUCGGAUUUACUGGGCGUAAAGGGCGCGUAGGCGGCCACUGCAAGUCAGUUGUGAAAUCUCCGGGCUUAACCCGGAAAGGUCAACUGAUACUGCAGGGCUAGAGUGCAGGAAGGGGCAACUGGAAUUCUCGGUGUAGCGGUGAAAUGCGUAGAUAUCGAGAGGAACACCUGCGGCGAAGGCGGGUGCUGGGCUGACACUGACGCUGAUGUGCGAAGCCAGGGAGCGAACGGG